Molecule: ribosomal RNA, 365 nt
Filed under: uncultured eukaryote
Lineage: Eukaryota
Description: partial 18S ribosomal RNA
Rfam family: Eukaryotic small subunit ribosomal RNA
Source: RNAcentral
CAAUAGCGUAUAUUUAAGUUGUUGCAGUUAAAAAGCUCGUAGUCGGAUUUUGGCUGAGAACGAUCGGUCCGCCGUUAGGUGUGCACUGAUUGGUCUCAGCUUCCUGGUGAGGAGGUGUGCUCCACGGCCACUUAGUCACCGUGGUUACUUUGAAAAAAUUAGAGUGUUCAAAGCGGGCUUACGCUUGAAUAUAUUAGCAUGGAAUAACACCAUAGGACUCCUGUCCUAUUUCGUUGGUCUCGGGACGGGAGUAAUGAUUAAGAGGAACAGUUGGGGGCAUUCGUAUUUCAUUGUCAGAGGUGAAAUUCUUGGAUUUAUGAAAGACGAACUUCUGCGAAAGCAUUUGCCAAGGAUGUUUUCAUUGA